Long non-coding RNA from Aedes albopictus (Asian tiger mosquito), 1026 nucleotides. RefSeq lists it as uncharacterized. The transcript has 2 exons. The record is from RefSeq and is a predicted model, not a curated record. NCBI's taxonomy places the organism in Eukaryota, Metazoa, Arthropoda, Insecta, Diptera, Culicidae.
UCAGGUAACCACUAAGCAUUUGGAUAAGCCGUAGAGCAGACCGUAUUAAGCAUUUGAACUGCUUGCUGCCCUACAUAAGCAGUUCGAAUGCAUAGCUGCCUUGAAUUAGCAUAAGCUGUGCUGCUCAAAAGCUUUUGGCUGUUAAUUAGCACUUCAACUGCUUGAGGUGUUUUCGCCUGAAAGCAUUCAGAAUGCAUUUUAACUGCUCUUCAAAUGCUAAGAGCAAAGAGUAUGGAAGAUAUGUUACGUGUUUGAUAACGCAUGUUGUCUCUUUCUUACAUAGUAUAUGCCUCUGUUGACAUAUUUGUACAUCUGAGUUCCUUAUUCAUUUUUCCCUUGGUUUUUCCCGUACUCAUCAAAAAGCUCCGCAGCAACAUUGCUGCAGCUGGUUCAGAUUAGGAACAUGGCCAUCAAACAAUUACCAUGUAUCAUUUCGUCGAAAAGUAUGUACCGAAUCUAUGAAUGCUUUGGCGGGUCAUAAAAUUAUGCGAAAGAGGGAAUCAUAUGCUAGAUCGAAGAGGGAAUGAAAAUGCUUUGUGCACAGAAAACAAGUUUUGGGUGUUGGAACGGAAGCUGCUUCCGAAUUAUUCUUUAUAUUGGGGGUUAAAUCAGCGCACGCCAUCGGAACAGCUGUGGCGUAUCCUGUAGCGCGGAACUGAAACUUGAGCAGCAAACAUGGAAUAAUCUGUGGAUCGUAAGUUCAAAUCCAAAUAACUAUUAAAAUAUGCAAAAAAAAGUACGAUCUAACAUCACCUGGGGUGUGCAAGGACGAGGAAGCGCGAAGAGCGAGGAGCGGACGUUAAUCUAUUUUUGGUUUGUUUUGCUCGACGAGGCGUUACGCUUCUUUGACAUUUUGAUACGACGUUCCUGAAGGUGUUGCACUGAGGCAGCCCGUUAUUUUGCCAAAACCUGCUGUGAGGUAGCACUAUAGGCGCAUAUACGGCCAAUUAGCAUUAAGUGCCUUGUCGUAAGGACUACUAUAAUGCUGGAGUAAUGCUAUUUUAAAUGCUUACUGGUUACUUGGGU